UCAUUCAUUUGUGCACUGGAGUAGCACUUUUAACUUCCUUCAAGAACUUUUCCUUUGCACUCACAACUUGGCUAACUGUUUGGCUCAAGAGGCCUAGUUUUCAGCCUAUCUUGGCUUUCUACAUGCCUUCCUCACUAAGCUUAAUCACUUCUAGCUU
Ceratotherium simum simum (southern white rhinoceros) is the source of this 157-nucleotide non-coding RNA. The record is from RefSeq and is a predicted model, not a curated record. Lineage: Eukaryota; Metazoa; Chordata; Mammalia; Perissodactyla; Rhinocerotidae.